RNAcentral lists this ribosomal RNA (250 nucleotides) under uncultured bacterium. RNAcentral's name for it is "partial 16S ribosomal RNA". It matches the Rfam family "Bacterial small subunit ribosomal RNA", at positions 524 to 773 of the family's 1533-position model. The record is from RNAcentral.
UACGGAGGGGGCAAGCGUUAUUCGGAAUCAUUGGGCGUAAAGGGCGCGUAGGCGGCCUGGCAAGUCAAAGGUGAAAUCCCUCGGCCUAACCGAGGAACUGCCUUUGAAACUGCAAGGCUCGAGGCCGGGAGAGGGUAGCGGAAUUCCCAGUGUAGCGGUGAAAUGCGUAGAUAUUGGGAGGAACACCAGUGGCGAAGGCGGCUACCUGGACCGGUUCUGACGCUGAGGCGCGAAAGCGUGGGGAGCAAAC